UACGGAGGGUGCAAGCGUUAUCCGGAUUCACUGGGUUUAAAGGGUGCGUAGGCGGGCAGGUAAGUCAGUGGUGAAAUCUCCGAGCUUAACUCGGAAACUGCCUUUGAUACUAUCUGUCUUGAAUAUUGUGGAGGUAAGCGGAAUAUGUCAUGUAGCGGUGAAAUGCUUAGAGAUGACAUAGAACACCCAUUGCGAAGGCAGCUUACUACGCAUAUAUUGACGCUGAGGCACGAAAGCGUGGGGAUCAAACAGG
This 253-nucleotide ribosomal RNA is filed under the name uncultured bacterium. Its description in RNAcentral is "partial 16S ribosomal RNA". It matches the Rfam family "Bacterial small subunit ribosomal RNA", at positions 524 to 776 of the family's 1533-position model. The record is from RNAcentral.